CCCUUAGAUGAUUUGGGCCGCACGCGUGCUACACUGAGUGGAUCAGCGGGUCAGGUUGCGCGAAAGCGUUUCCUAAUCUUUAAAUCCGCUCGUGAUGGGGAUUGACGGUUGCAAUUUUCUGUCAUGAACGAGGAAUACCUUGUAAGCGCGGGUCAUCAUCCCGCGCUGAAUACGUCCCUGCCCUUUGUACACACCGCCCGUCGCUCCUACCGAUUGAGUGGUCCGGUGAGGCUUUGGGAUCUGAGCGGAAAGAGCGUUUCGCUGUUUCUGCUCGGAAAACUCAGUCGAACCUUAUCAUUUAGAGGAAGGAGAAGUCGUAACA
RNAcentral lists this ribosomal RNA (322 nucleotides) under uncultured eukaryote. Its description in RNAcentral is "partial 18S ribosomal RNA". It matches the Rfam family "Eukaryotic small subunit ribosomal RNA", at positions 1470 to 1796 of the family's 1831-position model. The record is from RNAcentral.